CAUAGUCUAUUACAACCCAAAUAUGCCAACUAUUACAAUAUUACAAUAUUUAUAGUCUAUUACAAUCGAACAAAAGAGAUAACUCUUUGUUGAGUAGGGCUAUACGGCUUCGAACUUCAAAUUUCGUAGACCUGGAGCUCCUGUGAAAGAGUGAACACAUCGGCUACCAGCAUUAGAGUAGCUAUUAUUCCUGGAAUAGAUUUGCAAACUUCCAAGUUUAGUG
Molecule: long non-coding RNA, 223 nt
Filed under: Hordeum vulgare
Lineage: Eukaryota; Viridiplantae; Streptophyta; Magnoliopsida; Poales; Poaceae
Description: long non-coding RNA (HVUL_LNC013061)
Source: RNAcentral